This 464-nucleotide ribosomal RNA is filed under the name uncultured Anoxybacillus sp. Its description in RNAcentral is "bacterial SSU rRNA". It matches the Rfam family "Bacterial small subunit ribosomal RNA", at positions 920 to 1382 of the family's 1533-position model. Lineage: Bacteria; Bacillati; Bacillota; Bacilli; Caryophanales; Anoxybacillaceae. The record is from RNAcentral.
CCCGCACAAGCGGUGGAGCACGUGGUUUAAUUCGAAGCAACGCGAAGAACCUUACCAGGUCUUGACAUCCCCUGACAACCCGAGAGAUCGGGCGUUCCCCCUUCGGGGGACAGGGUGACAGGUGGUGCAUGGUUGUCGUCAGCUCGUGUCGUGAGAUGUUGGGUUAAGUCCCGCAACGAGCGCAACCCUCGACCUUAGUUGCCAGCAUUCAGUUGGGCACUCUAAGGUGACUGCCGGCUAAAAGUCGGAGGAAGGUGGGGAUGACGUCAAAUCGUCAUGCCCCUUAUGACCUGGGCUACACACGUGCUACAAUGGGCGGUACAAAGGGUCGCGAACCCGCGAGGGGGAGCCAAUCCCAAAAAGCCGCUCUCGGUUCGGAUUGCAGGCUGCAACUCGCCUGCAUGAAGCCGGAAUCGCUAGUAAUCGCGGAUCAGCAUGCCGCGGUGAAUACGUUCCCGGGCCUU